RNAcentral lists this unclassified non-coding RNA (352 nucleotides) under soil metagenome. RNAcentral describes it as "partial contains 5.8S ribosomal RNA, internal transcribed spacer 2, and large subunit ribosomal RNA". The stretch from base 1 to 120 matches the Rfam family "5.8S ribosomal RNA", at positions 35 to 154 of the family's 154-position model. The record is from RNAcentral.
GAUGAAGAACGCAGCGAAAUGCGAUACGUAGUGUGAAUUGCAGAAUUCAGUGAAUCAUCGAAUCUUUGAACGCACAUUGCGCCCGCCAGUAUUCUGGCGGGCAUGCCUGUUCGAGCGUCAUUACAACCCUCAGGCCCCCGGGCCUGGCGUUGGGGAUCGGCGGAGCCCCCCGUGGGCACACGCCGUCCCCCAAAUGCAGUGGCGGUCCCGCCGCAGCUUCCAUCACGUAGUAGCUAACACCUCGCGACUGGAGAGCGGCGCGGCCACGCCGUAAAACACCCAACUCUUCUGAAGUUGACCUCGAAUCAGGUAGGAAUACCCGCUGAACUUAAGCAUAUCAAUAAGCGGAGGA